Molecule: long non-coding RNA, 1012 nt
Organism: Ictalurus punctatus (channel catfish)
Lineage: Eukaryota; Metazoa; Chordata; Actinopteri; Siluriformes; Ictaluridae
Source: Ensembl
CAACUCGAACCCGAAGACUCGAGAGCUGCAGUAAUCAUUUCUGUUUCCUCGGUCAACACAAAACGAACAAAUCACUCAGACAACUCGUUGUUCCCGAGUCAUAUUAAAGAUUCGCUCAAACGAAUCGUUCAUGAAGGACACAUUACUAGUGCAUUUCUGCCUUACUCACUGCUGUUGUGGAUGGUUCCACAUGAUCUCACUGGAUGCUGUAGACUAACAACUGCUGCUGUGAUCAUAAAGUCUCAUCGUGCUGAUACUGAACAUCCAUUUCAGUGCACGUAACACUGAGUGUACAGUAAUGUAACAAAUGUGGAAGAGUGAUCAUUUAUAAUCCCACUAUAAAGUGUCACCCAGAACAGGGUAUCAUUUUGAGUCCUCUCAGGGUGUUUGUCCUGUCACCUCAGGAUUGCUCAUUAAAGUCCCCAUGAAAUGAAAAUAGUUCUAAAUUUUGUGUCUUUUAGCAUGAAUAAAUUAGCCUUAAGGUUAUCUAUAAGCUAGUGCGCUUGAAAUAACGACAAAAUUAGCAUUUAGAAGAUAUAUGCAUUAAAAAUUGACAGUCUCUCUUUUCCACCACUAUGGAGCAACAAUUUUGAUGACAUCAUUCUGCAAUUCAGCUCCUCAUCAGAUUUUCUGUCCAAUUAAACGCCAUCCAGAAUCUCAAGUGUCCCGCCCCCCAACAUUAUAAAAAUCCAUGGUACUAGCUAAAAGCCCUUGCUGUGAGGUAAGCUGAACACUAUUGGCUAUUUAAAAAAGGGGGAUGAGCCAAUUAAUGUUGGAAAUUACGUCAACAAACAAACAGAUAAAUAUACAUAAGAGCAGUAAAUGGUAAUAAAUCGAUUAAAAACGUCAAUAUUUGGUGUGACAACACUUUUCUUUAAAAAAUAAAAUAAAAUAGUAUUCUCAGGUACAAUUAGUGCAGUUUUAUAAGGAAAUGAGCUGCAAGUUUUAUUGAGCAUCUCGCAGAAUCAGACACGGUUCUUCUGGAGACUUUGACUGUUGCAACCGCUUCUUA